AGACAGCAGCAGCCGCGGGAAUACGAAGGGUGCAAGCGUUAAUCGGAAUUACUGGGCGUAAAGCGUGCGUAGGCGGUGAGUUAAGUCUGCUGUGAAAUCCCCGGGCUCAACCUGGGAAUGGCAGUGGAUACUGGCUCGCUAGAGUGUGUCAGAGGAUGGUGGAAUUCCCGGUGUAGCGGUGAAAUGCGUAGAGAUCGGGAGGAACAUCAGUGGCGAAGGCGGCCAUCUGGGACAACACUGACGCUGAGGCACGAAAGCGUGGGGAGCAAACAGGAUUAGAUACCCGUGUAGUCCCUGUCUCUUAUAC
RNAcentral lists this ribosomal RNA (307 nucleotides) under uncultured bacterium. Its description in RNAcentral is "partial 16S ribosomal RNA". It matches the Rfam family "Bacterial small subunit ribosomal RNA", at positions 506 to 807 of the family's 1533-position model. The record is from RNAcentral.